UUCUUCUCCCUGAUGUUUCUGUCUCAUUCCCUCUCCUUUUUCAGGCCUUCUAACGUGUUCUGUUCCUUUUGACUUCUUCCCCUCUGAAGGAAGGAGGAGACCACUAGACCUGUCGGCCUCAUGGGGGACAAAGCACAAGGUGUCACCCUCUGACUAUUGAACAGGGUAAGUUUAGCACUAAUUCAUACAACAGAUAAUAAAUUUAUGGAAUUAUCAGAAAUAGCUACUAAA
RNAcentral lists this long non-coding RNA (231 nucleotides) under Vombatus ursinus (common wombat). Its description in RNAcentral is "lncRNA (ENSVURG00010016098.1)". The record is from RNAcentral. Lineage: Eukaryota; Metazoa; Chordata; Mammalia; Diprotodontia; Vombatidae.